UGAUCCUUAAUUGCUUAGCUAUGUCAUUUACCCAUGUUUCUGUUUACUAUGUAUUAAAAUGGGUAGUACUGUUUACUUAACUACCUCACAGAUGUGUUAAGGCAUAGUACAUUAAAUUUCAUGAACUGUUUCUCAGUCUCACUUCAAGCCUCAGAAAUUUGAACCUAUUUGUACCACAGUGUGAUACUCAGAAUUUUAUUCACACCAGGCUUUGAUAAUUAAACUGGAAAAUGAAGUUUAAACAGCCCUUUUGUGGAUCUGGCCAGAUAACACUCAGAAUUCAUGUGGCUACUAUUUUAGUGAAAAUGGAUGGGGAUGGGUUUGUUUCAAAAAGUCCAAGGAUCUUUUUUUCCUCUGAUAUUCUAGAUGAACAUAUUGUAGUAAAUAGUAUAGAGAUUAUGGGCCUAAAGUGGUAAUAAGACCAUUUUGGGGAGGGGAAUGCCAUUGAGUUUGAGACUUUAGAGCCACAUUUAAAAUACCUCAGGCUAAUUACUGUUAAUUUGGGGGGGAAUGAACUUAUUUUUGAUAGUGAGAGUGGACUAAUUCAAGAGAAAGUUCUAGAGUUCCUGCUGUUAAUAAAAUUACUUUGAGUUGAUACAUUUUUACAGGUGAUAGUUUUCUUUUUGAAAAUUUAGUAUUAAGGACUUAAAAUGUGAACACAUUUGUGUGGAACUAUCCAUACCUCUUGAGAAUCUUAACUACUGGAAAUCCUUAACCAAUCACAGUAGUUUUUUUCCUUUUUAUUUUCAGAAUUUUGAUUAGACAUCCUGUGAUGAUAUUUUUGUACCCAUAUUUCAUCUAAACAUAGCUUUUUCUGAUCUUUAAAAUUUUAAUCUAAAGAUAGAAUCCCAUUUUUAAUUAACUUAAAGAAGUGACAAAAUCACUUUUUCUUGUUCCUUUAGGAAACAGCUAUUGCCAGAGUGAAGAGGUAGAUGAUAUUUCAUCUUGUUACGUAAUGGGGUUGUAGUUUGCAGAGGAAUUGUUUUCUUUGUAAAAUUUGAAUUUCAAGGGAUGUCAGUGUUCAUUUAUGCCAUUUCUUCAUUCCAAGAUGGUUCUAUUCCAUUUUAGAAAUUUGAAAUAUGUAAUUUGAAAUCCUUAAAUAAAAUUUGGACUUAAUUUUAUAAAAUAUUCUGGUAACAUUUGGAUUUUUUAAAAGAAUAUGAAUAUACACUGCUGUUUUUGAAGAUUGAAGAGCAGAGAUGUCUAAACAGGCUUUGACCUGUAAAUCUGUGUAAUUACGAGAACAACCUCCUUAUCCCUGCUAAGUAGAGUUCUUUGAAAACUAGAAAGAUAUUCUGCAGUUCCUGAAGGAUUUUAUUCUUGGUUAUCUACAGACAUUCUUGACACGUCAGAGUUUCUCUUUACAUACUCCAGUUUUAGUUUCCACUGACCCCAUUCUCUGACUUAUCAGUAAGUUCUAGAAAUGCUAAAAAUCCCAUCUAGUCAUCUAUUUAGGAAAAAAAAAACUGGGACUUUUGGUUAUUCAGGUAAACGACACAGAGCAGCAGUUCCACACAUUGCUUAGUUGUUAGUGUAACAGCUAUCUGACAGUUAAAUCUGUAAUUUCUUAAAAUUCUUAGUUCACUGAAUUGGUACUAGUAUUACUAUUUUACAUGUGAAAAUACCUUAAUUACUUGGAAUUGGAGAGUUGGUACUUAAAAAUGGGAUUCUACCUCUUUCCUUUUGAGCUCAUUUAACAAACAUGAAAAGGAGAUACUAACUUUGAUAAAAAUACUUUCAUGAUUCUGUGACUAGGUUAAUGAUAGUGAUUGCCAUGUGACAGAGCCCCUAAGAUAACUGAAUUAACAGUAUUACUGCUGUUUGCAAGACAGUGCGGAUUUGUGGGUUUAUCUCAGUUGCAGGCUGUACCCAUUAUCAAAAUUUGAGUUACUGUUUGUGAAAACCUUACCAUGCCAUACAGAACUAUGAAGCUAAUAUUCAAAUACUCUUUGCUGUGAUUUGAGGGCUUGGUUUAGAAUUUGAGUACAUUUUUAUGGGUUAGUCCUGAAACAAAUUUUAGCCUUUAUAUUAACUAUUUAAAUCAGGCCAAAUGUUAUUUUAAAUGUACAAAACAGUUUAGAAGAAGCCU
Molecule: long non-coding RNA, 2089 nt
Organism: Heterocephalus glaber (naked mole-rat)
Lineage: Eukaryota; Metazoa; Chordata; Mammalia; Rodentia; Bathyergidae
Source: Ensembl